AUUGAACGCUGGCGGAAUGCUUUACACAUGCAAGUCGAACGGCAGCACGGACUUCGGUCUGGUGGCGAGUGGCGAACGGGUGAGUAAUGUAUCGGAACGUGCCCAGUCGUGGGGGAUAACGUAGUGAAAAUUACGCUAAUACCGCAUACGAUCUAUGGAUGAAAGCGGGGGAUCGCAAGACCUCGCGCGAUUGGAGCGGCCGAUAUCAGAUUAGGUAGUUGGUGGGGUAAAGGCCCACCAAGCCAACGAUCUGUAGCUGGUCUGAGAGGACGACCAGCCACACUGGAACUGAGACACGGUCCAGACUCCUACGGGAGGCAGCAGUGGGGAAUUUUGGACAAUGGGCGAAAGCCUGAUCCAGCCAUUCCGCGUGCAGAAUGAAGGCCCUCGGGUUGUAAACUGCUUUUGUACAGAACGAAGAGGUUUCUACUAAUACUAGGAGCUCAUGACGGUACUGUAAGAAUAAGCACCGGCUAACUACGUGCCAGCCGCCGCGGUAA
Molecule: ribosomal RNA, 500 nt
Filed under: uncultured bacterium
Lineage: Bacteria
Description: partial 16S ribosomal RNA
Rfam family: Bacterial small subunit ribosomal RNA
Source: RNAcentral